GUAACAGGUCUUCGGACGCUGACGAGUGGCGAACGGGUGAGUAAUACAUCGGAACGUGCCCAGUCGUGGGGGAUAACUACUCGAAAGAGUAGCUAAUACCGCAUACGAUCUGAGGAUGAAAGCGGGGGACCUUCGGGCCUCGCGCGAUUGGAGCGGCCGAUGGCAGAUUAGGUAGUUGGUGGGAUAAAAGCUUACCAAGCCGACGAUCUGUAGCUGGUCUGAGAGGACGACCAGCCACACUGGGGCUGAGACACGGCCCAGACUCCUACGGGAGGCAGCAGUGGGGAAUUUUGGACAAUGGGCGAAAGCCUGAUCCAGCAAUGCCGCGUGCAGGAUGAAGGCCUUCGGGUUGUAAACUGCUUUUGUACGGAACGAAAAAGCUUCUCCUAAUACGAGAGGCCCAUGACGGUACCGUAAGAAUAAGCACCGGCUAACUACGUGCCAGCAGCCGCGGUAAUACGUAGGGUGCGAGCGUUAAUCGGAAUUACUGGGCGUAAAGCGUGCGCAGGCGGUUAUGUAAGACAGAUGUGAAAUCCCCGGGCUCAACCUGGGAACUGCAUUUGUGGCUGCAUGGCUAGAGUACGGUAGAGGGGGAUGGAAUUCCGCGUGUAGCAGUGAAAUGCGUAGAUAUGCGGAGGAACACCGAUGGCGAAGGCAAUCCCCUGGACCUGUACUGACGCUCAUGCACGAAAGCGUGGGGAGCAAA
This 706-nucleotide ribosomal RNA is filed under the name uncultured beta proteobacterium. RNAcentral describes it as "bacterial SSU rRNA". It matches the Rfam family "Bacterial small subunit ribosomal RNA", at positions 69 to 772 of the family's 1533-position model. The record is from RNAcentral. Lineage: Bacteria; Pseudomonadati; Pseudomonadota; Betaproteobacteria.